GUUUGGGUAGCUCAGUCAGUCGAGCAUCUGACUUUGGCUCAGGUCAUGAUAUCACAGCUUGUGGGUUCAAGCCCCACAUUGGGCU
This 85-nucleotide transfer RNA is filed under the name Felis catus (domestic cat). It matches the Rfam family "tRNA". Rfam says of the family: Transfer RNA (tRNA) molecules are approximately 80 nucleotides in length. Their secondary structure includes four short double-helical elements and three loops (D, anti-codon, and T loops). RNAcentral also lists the same sequence under 2 other names. Lineage: Eukaryota; Metazoa; Chordata; Mammalia; Carnivora; Felidae. The record is from Rfam by way of RNAcentral.